AUACGGAGGGUGCAAGCGUUACUCGGAAUCACUGGGCGUAAAGCGCGCGCAGGCGGCUAUUUAAGUUGGAUGUGAAAGCCUACGGCUCAACCGUAGAACUGCAUCCAAAACUAUUUAGCUAGAGUGUGGGAGAGGAAGAUGGAAUUAGUUGUGUAGGGGUAAAAUCCGUAGAGAUAACUAGGAAUACCAAAAGCGAAGGCAAUCGUCUGGAACACUACUGACGCUGAGGCGCGAAAGCGUGGGGAGCAAACGGGAUUAGAAACCCUAGUAGUCC
RNAcentral lists this ribosomal RNA (274 nucleotides) under uncultured bacterium. RNAcentral describes it as "partial 16S ribosomal RNA". It matches the Rfam family "Bacterial small subunit ribosomal RNA", at positions 523 to 796 of the family's 1533-position model. The record is from RNAcentral.